Molecule: ribosomal RNA, 465 nt
Filed under: Vreelandella stevensii
Lineage: Bacteria; Pseudomonadati; Pseudomonadota; Gammaproteobacteria; Oceanospirillales; Halomonadaceae
Description: partial 16S ribosomal RNA
Rfam family: Bacterial small subunit ribosomal RNA
Source: RNAcentral
CCUACGGGAGGCAGCAGUGGGGAAUAUUGGACAAUGGGCGAAAGCCUGAUCCAGCCAUGCCGCGUGUGUGAAGAAGGCCUUCGGGUUGUAAAGCACUUUCAGUGGGGAAGAAAGCCUUGGGGCUAAUACCCUCGAGGAAGGACAUCACCCACAGAAGAAGCACCGGCUAACUCCGUGCCAGCAGCCGCGGUAAUACGGAGGGUGCGAGCGUUAAUCGGAAUUACUGAGCGUAAAGCGCGCGUAGGCGGUCUGAUAAGCCGGUUGUGAAAGCCCCGGGCUCAACCUGGGAACGGCAUCCGGAACUGUCAGGCUAGAGUGCAGGAGAGGAAGGUAGAAUUCCCGGUGUAGCGGUGAAAUGCGUAGAGAUCGGGAGGAAUACCAGUGGCGAAGGCGGCCUUCUGGACUGACACUGACGCUGAGGUGCGAAAGCGUGGGUAGCAAACAGGAUUAGAUACCCUAGUAGUC